This 497-nucleotide ribosomal RNA is filed under the name uncultured bacterium. RNAcentral describes it as "partial 16S ribosomal RNA". It matches the Rfam family "Bacterial small subunit ribosomal RNA", at positions 29 to 507 of the family's 1533-position model. The record is from RNAcentral.
UAUGCACGCUGGCGGCGUGCCUAAUACAUGCAAGUCGAGCGAACAGACGAGGAGCUUGCUCCUCUGACGUUAGCGGCGGACGGGUGAGUAACACGUGGAUAACCUACCUAUAAGACUGGGAUAACUUCGGGAAACCGGAGCUAAUACCGGAUAAUAUAUUGAACCGCAUGGUUCAAUAGUGAAAGACGGUUUUGCUGUCACUUAUAGAUGGAUCCGCGCCGCAUUAGCUAGUUGGUAAGGUAACGGCUUACCAAGGCGACGAUGCGUAGCCGACCUGAGAGGGUGAUCGGCCACACUGGAACUGAGACACGGUCCAGACUCCUACGGGAGGCAGCAGUAGGGAAUCUUCCGCAAUGGGCGAAAGCCUGACGUAGCAACGCCGCGUGAGUGAUGAAGGUCUUCGGAUCGUAAAACUCUGUUAUUAGGGAAGAACAAAUGUGUAAGUAACUAUGCACGUCUUGACGGUACCUAAUCAGAAAGCCACGGCUAACUACGUG